UACGAAGGGGGCUAGCGUUGUUCGGAAUUACUGGGCGUAAAGCGCGCGCAGGCGGUCUUCCAAGUCAGUGGUGAAAGCCCGGAGCUCAACUCCGGAAAUGCCAUUGAAACUGUAAGACUUGAGGAUGAGAGAGGUGAGUGGAAUUCCCAGUGUAGAGGUGAAAUUCGUAGAUAUUCGGAAGAACACCAGUGGCGAAGGCGGCUCACUGGACCGGCAUUGACGCUGAGGUGCGAAAGCGUGGGGAGCAAACAGG
RNAcentral lists this ribosomal RNA (253 nucleotides) under uncultured bacterium. Its description in RNAcentral is "partial 16S ribosomal RNA". It matches the Rfam family "Bacterial small subunit ribosomal RNA", at positions 524 to 776 of the family's 1533-position model. The record is from RNAcentral.